This 392-nucleotide transfer-messenger RNA is filed under the name Porticoccaceae. Its description in RNAcentral is "HB2-32-21 sp003645535 Standard tmRNA". It matches the Rfam family "transfer-messenger RNA". From Rfam's summary of the family: Bacterial tmRNA, also known as 10Sa RNA or SsrA, is named for its dual tRNA and mRNA-like properties. Its role is to liberate the mRNA from a stalled ribosome. RNAcentral also lists the same sequence under 1 other name. Lineage: Bacteria; Pseudomonadati; Pseudomonadota; Gammaproteobacteria; Cellvibrionales. The record is from RNAcentral.
GGGGGCGAUUUGGAUUCGACGACGGUAACAAAACUUAGUGUGCAUGUCGUGAUGGUAGCCAAUCACGUUAAUCCAAAGCUGCAAACUAUUAGUUGCCAAUGAUGACAACUACGGUGCACAACUGGCUGCGUAAGCAGCUCGUUUAGCACCAUCUGGAGGAUUCGUCCACCAGCGGUCUUUAACAAGGUGCCAGCCCCGCGUUACUGACUGUCAUAUAGAACUGGAUCGCUGUGAAACUCGCCUGAAGUGGAUCUGCUAAAUAUUAUUCAGGAUCGCCAAGUACGUCCUGCCCGUCGGGCUGUAUACGGCUAAAUCAAUUGACGGAAACUAAGCAUGUAGAUCACUAAGCGGCGUACUGGCGGACGCGGGUUCAAUUCCCGCCGCCUCCACCA